UACGGAGGGGGCGAGCGUUGUUCGGAUUUACUGGGCGUAAAGGGCGCGUAGGCGGCCUUGUCAGUCAGGCGUGAAAGCCCCGGGCUCAACCUGGGAACGGCGCUUGGGACGGCGAGGCUGGAGUUCGGGAGAGGAGAGUGGAAUUCCCAGUGUAGAGGUGAAAUUCGUAGAUAUUGGGAAGAACACCGGUGGCGAAGGCGGCUCUCUGGACCGACACUGACGCUGAGGCGCGAAAGCGUGGGGAGCAAACAGG
Molecule: ribosomal RNA, 253 nt
Filed under: uncultured bacterium
Lineage: Bacteria
Description: partial 16S ribosomal RNA
Rfam family: Bacterial small subunit ribosomal RNA
Source: RNAcentral